GGCAACAAUUUCAUUCAAACCCUAAUCGGAAUGUUUUGGAAUUUUUUAGCACAAUGAACCCUGUGAAGGAAACGGCGUUGUGGUACAAGGACAUACAAGGCAGGCGGAUCGAAAAGGGGGUUAUCAAAUCGAAUUUCAUUACGGUCUACAAUCCACGAUGAUUUAUGCAUCCGCUUACAGAGUAAUACUUGACGUCGGAGUACGGAGUAGCGGUUUAAUUGUCACUGAAGGCCGUCGAACAGAAUGGAGGGACGGAGAAGUGUAAUACGGAAGCGCACAUCUAAGCCCGAUGGGUCCGAUGGGUCAGUGAAAGGAACGGGCCGGAAAAGGGGACGACCCCUAAUCAAGGCAUCUAUUAAACCUGAAACAACGACCCAACAAUGUGGUUUGGUGUCCACCACAAUGGCCAUUUCACUAAUAAGGCAGAUUGCUGGAAUGACAGAAAUUGAGCAAAACUGCUCUCUGUAGGCGAGGGAUCAACUACUAAAUGUCGUCCGUUCUCAUGAAAAGAUUGUUUCCGACGAGGACAAUGAGAUAUCAUGCCUUCGCUCACGUAUAUUCGGUACUAACUGCAGGAACAAUUGGAAACUCAGAAGUCAACUACUCCCUGACUGCAGGGUGGUAUCUAUCGUGCAAAUGAAACGGGACAAAUGAUUACUACAGAAAUUGACGUAUUUUUAACUUCCUGUCGGGGCCGUUAAAACGGGGUUAUUAUGAGAGCAUGACAUUGUGUGAUGUAUAAUAUUUUUAUUGACAUCCCAAACUGUUUCCAAUUGUGUGUCAUAAAAGGGGUUACUAAUUAAAUUAUAAUUUCAGAGGAGGGGUGAGGUGGGGGUGCCUACAUAUUCUUUUGUUGUCCUAACAAAUCUUAGUUAUUCCAGGAGCUGAGGCACGAAUUAGGCGAAAAUUUUAAUAAUGUAAGCUUUCCUCAACAAGAAGGGAAGCUGGCAACUGAUAUUAUUAAUGAGGAAUGCGAGAGGAAGCUGGAUUCUUCAUUUCAGGCCCUCCACACAGGGUUUACAUCAAACAGUGAGGAGGAAACAGACACGAAUGAUUCUUUGCAUAACCAACAUGUUGGACGUAAUAAAACAUCUGUUCAAAGUCACAUUACAAAAACCGGGGAUGUUGAUCUCGCUUUCCAUGAAGUUGCAACGCAGAGUAAAUAUCAAUCACAUUUAGACAGGCCGUUAAACAUCAUAUAUGCCAUAGGAAAUAUAACCCGUUCUGCUUGAUGUUGUAGCUCAAGUUGUUAACUUUUAAAUUUUCUUCUUCAUAAGUCCACAGUGUUGUUUCCAACCAUAUCAGUCCCAUUGCAGCGUGCUAUGUUUAACACCCGGUCAGCCAGCAUGGGUUUUGGCUUGGCCUUUUCGCGGGUUUAUAUGUAACCGAAUUGUUGACAAUAUCCAAUUAUUUUAUUUUAAUUC
This is a long non-coding RNA of Rosa chinensis, 1424 nucleotides long. RefSeq lists it as uncharacterized. NCBI's taxonomy places the organism in Eukaryota, Viridiplantae, Streptophyta, Magnoliopsida, Rosales, Rosaceae. The record is from RefSeq and is a predicted model, not a curated record. The transcript has 5 exons.